AAGAACGAACGCUGGCGGCAUGCCUAACACAUGCAAGUCGAACGAAGGCUUCGGCCUUUAGUGGCGCGACGGGUGCGUAACGCGUGGGAAAUCUGCCCUUGGGGUUCGGAAAUAACUCAGAAGUAAAUUUGAGCUAAUACCGGAUGAUGACGUAAGUCCAAAGUAUUUAUCCGCCCAAGGAUGAGCCCGCGUAAGAUUAGCUAGUUGGUGGGGUAAAGGCCUACCAAGGCGACGAUCUUUAGCUGGUCUGAGAGGAUGACCAGCCACACUGGGACUGAGACACGGCCCAGACUCCUACGGGAGGCAGCAGUGGGGAAUAUUGGACAAUGGGCGAAAGCCUGAUCCAGCAAUGCCGCGUGAGUGAUGAAGGCCUUAGGGUUGUAAAGCUCUUUUACCAGGGAUGAUAAUGACAGUACCUGGAGAAUAAGCUCCGGCUAACUCCGUG
This 445-nucleotide ribosomal RNA is filed under the name uncultured bacterium. RNAcentral's name for it is "bacterial SSU rRNA". It matches the Rfam family "Bacterial small subunit ribosomal RNA", at positions 26 to 507 of the family's 1533-position model. The record is from RNAcentral.